CUGUAUCUUUUUGAUUGGGACAUUUAAGCUAUUUACAUUUAAAUAUUGAUAAGUAUGUACUUAUUGCAAUUUUGUUAAUUGUUUUCUGGUUAUUUUUUGUUUUUUUUUUUUGUUUUUUUUUUUUGUUUUUUUUUUUUUUCUUUUUUUUUUUUUUGUUUUUUUUUUUUUGUUUUUUUUUUUUUUUUGUUUUUUUUUUUUUGUUUUUUUUUUUUUUUUUUGUUUUUUUUUUUUUGUUUUUUUUUUUUUGUUUUUUUUUUUUUGUUUUUUUUUUUUUUUUUGUUUUUUUUUUUUUGUUUUUUUUUUUUUGUUUUUUUUUUUUUUGUUUUUUUUUUUUUGUUUUUUUUUUUUUUGUUUUUUUUUUUUUUUGUUUUUUUUUUUUUUUUUAUUUUUUUUUUUUUAUUUUUUUUUUUUUUUUGUUUUUUUUUUUUUGUUUUUUUUUUUUUUUGUUUUUUUUUUUUUUUAUUUUUUUUUUUUUUAUUUUUUUUUUUUUAUUUUUUUUUUUUUUUGUUUUUUUUUUUUUUUGUUUUUUUUUUUUUAUUUUUUUUUUUUUUUGUUUUUUUUUUUUUUUGUUUUUUUUUUUUUGUUUUUUUUUUUUUAUUUUUUUUUUUUUUUUUUGUUUUUUUUUUUUUUUUUGUUUUUUUUUUUUUUUGUUUUUUUUUUUUUUUGUUUUUUUUUUUUUUUUAUUUUUUUUUUUUUUAUUUUUUUUUUUUUGUUUUUUUUUUUUUUUUUUGUUUUUUUUUUUUUAUUUUUUUUUUUUUGUUUUUUUUUUUUUUUUUUUUGUUUUUUUUUUUUUUGUUUUUUUUUUUUUGUUUUUUUUUUUUUAUUUUUUUUUUUUUGUUUUUUUUUUUUUUUGUUUUUUUUUUUUUUUUUUUGUUUUUUUUUUUUUUGUUUUUUUUUUUUUUGUUUUUUUUUUUUUUUUUUUUGUUUUUUUUUUUUUGUUUUUUUUUUUUUUUUUUUUUUUUGUUACUUUGGUUUUAUACUUUCCUAUAUUUUCUCUUUGUUGAAAUUCUUACUGUGUUCAUUCAUUCUUCUCCUUAGUUUGGUAAGCAUCUUUAUGACCAUUACUUUGAACUCUUUUGGGUAGAUUACUUAUCUCCAUUUCAUUAAGGUCUUUUUCUGAGGCUUUGUUGGUCUUUUGUUUGGAACAUAUUCCUCUGUCUUCUCACUUUGCCUGAUUCUCUGUGUCUGCUUCUAUGUAAUAGGUGAAAAAGCCAUCUCCUCCAAUAUUGAAGGAAUGACCUUGUGUAAGAGAUGACACAUGGAGCCCAGGAUCACAAUCACUCUAGCCACCAUAGGCAAGUGCUCCAGGGGUAUGUCCUGUGUGGGCUGUGUGGGCUGUGUGUGCCAGGCAGCUGUGGCUGAGCUGUGGCUAUGGUGCAGGGGGUGGGGCAUUUGCCCACCAACAAAGAAGGGUGGGCUCCUUGCCCAGUCAGUGGUUGUGAGGCUGGGAUGUAGAGG
Molecule: long non-coding RNA, 1458 nt
Filed under: Felis catus (domestic cat)
Lineage: Eukaryota; Metazoa; Chordata; Mammalia; Carnivora; Felidae
Description: lncRNA (ENSFCAG00000048221.1)
Source: RNAcentral